GACGAACGCUGGCGGCGUGCUUAACACAUGCAAGUCGAACGGAAAGGCCCGGCGUUUGUGGGGUGCUCGAGUGGCGAACGGGAGAGUAACACGUGAGUAACCUGCCCUUGACUUUGGGAUAACUUCAGGAAACUGGGGCUAAUACCGGAUAGGAGCUCCUGCUGCAUGGAGGGGGUUGGACAGUUUCGGAGGUGGGGGAUGGACUCGCGCCUUAUCAGCUUGUUGGUGUGGUAAUGGCUUACCACGGCCUUGACGGGUAGCCGGCCUGAGGGGGUGACCGGCCACAUUGGGACUGGGAUACGGCCCAGACUCCUACGGGCGGCAGCAGUGGGGAACACUGCACAAUGGGCGGAACCCUGAUGCAGCAACGCCGCGUGCGGGAUGACGGCCUUCGGGUUGUAAACCGCUUUCGCCGGUGACGAAGCGUGAGUGACGGUAAUGGGUAAAGAAGCACCGGCUAACUACGUG
Molecule: ribosomal RNA, 468 nt
Filed under: uncultured bacterium
Lineage: Bacteria
Description: partial 16S ribosomal RNA
Rfam family: Bacterial small subunit ribosomal RNA
Source: RNAcentral